This 253-nucleotide ribosomal RNA is filed under the name uncultured bacterium. Its description in RNAcentral is "partial 16S ribosomal RNA". It matches the Rfam family "Bacterial small subunit ribosomal RNA", at positions 524 to 776 of the family's 1533-position model. The record is from RNAcentral.
UACGGAGGUGGCUAGCGUUGUUAGGAAUUACUGGGCGUAAAGCGCACGUAGGCGGACUGGAAAGUCAGAGGUGAAAUCCCAGGGCUCAACCUUGGAACUGCCUUUGAAACUCCCGGUCUUGAGGUCGAGAGAGGUGAGUGGAAUUCAGAGUGUAGAGGUGAAAUUAGUAGAUAUUCGGAGGAACACCAGUGGCGAAGGCGGCUCACUGGCUCGAUACUGACGCUGAGGUGAGAAAGCGUGGGGAGCAAACAGG